This is a small nuclear RNA of Psammomys obesus (fat sand rat), 107 nucleotides long. NCBI's taxonomy places the organism in Eukaryota, Metazoa, Chordata, Mammalia, Rodentia, Muridae. The record is from RefSeq and is a predicted model, not a curated record.
GUGCUCACUUCGGCAACACAGAUACUAAAAAUGGAACGAUAGAGAGAUUAUUAGCAUGGCCCAUGUGCAAGGAUAACACCCAAAUUCAUGAAGUGUGGGAGAGAGGG